This is a long non-coding RNA of Lepisosteus oculatus (spotted gar), 1287 nucleotides long. RefSeq lists it as uncharacterized. The record is from RefSeq and is a predicted model, not a curated record. Lineage: Eukaryota; Metazoa; Chordata; Actinopteri; Semionotiformes; Lepisosteidae.
CAGAAGUACGCGGCUUUGUGCCUCCCUCCUCGCGCUGCCACUGCCACCCUGCCUCCCACUCUCGGCAGGGCCGCUCGGCGUGAAGGAGAGCGUCUUCGAUUUCUCCGAUGAAAGCAGUCUGCAGGGCAGGAUACUGUGAUCCCUCCACACACAGAUGUAAUGGAUGUGCACUGGAAAUUACAGCCUGUCACGACCUGCCAGGUGGACCAGCCCACAGAGAGGGUGCCCCGCUCAGCCAGUUGGAGGCAGGACUCUGUCCAGGCUUGACGGCGCUGGCCUGCGGGCGAUUGGCUUCUCCAGGCAAGCUCCGGGUUCACACACCAGGAUCAAUCUGCACACAGCCAGCGUCCACCCGCAGGAGUCUGCAGCAGCCCGAGUGUUCGGUCUUGAUCAGGGCGAGGUUACAGUGGAGCGCCACGUGGAGCUGAGCAGAGCUAGCCGACAUAACAGCCGACCUGGCUGAUACUUUGGACUGCCAGUGCCUGAUAAGCAUUCUCCCUGAGCUCUUUGCCUUCAAAUGUUUCUUUUACUAGCAGAGCCAGUCAUUUAGAAGUCAGAUUCACCUAAGUGAGCUUCAUUUCAUGCCAGUCGGAGAAGAUGUGCAGACUGACUGACUGGUGCAUUGUUCCAGCAGGUGCACUGUACUAUAACCUCCGUCUGUAUUUGAUUUGCCCUGAUUGCAGAAAAUAUGUUAUUGAUCCUCCCAUUUGUUUCCCUUCUUUGUAAUUUGUCUUUUGUUUCAACCUUACUGUCACCAGACAGUAGUUCUGGUCAAAUUUGCAUUUCUGAACUGCAGGUGUGAUUGCAUCUUCACGGCAAGAGCACAACUAUUAGUGUCCUUUAGCAGAUACAUGCUAGGAAAAUAUUUGAGCUUUGCUCAUCCAAGUCAAAUAAUUGGGAAAGGGGUGUGGUUUAUCAACACAGUGCAAUGACGGUUUACAUGGAAAGCAGAGAGAACAGGAUGAAAAGCUGGCAACUUCACUGGUACUGAGGCACCACGCAGCCAGCAGGGAACAGCUGCAACAGCUCUCUGCUGGCUGCUUGGGGUAGCAAAUGUCACCUGAAUUAUGCAAUGGAUAGUUUGAAACUGUGGCAGUGGGCUACUCUGAGCUGGACUGGACUGGUAUUGCAGGACCUUCUUCGUUUAACACUGGAGAAAACAUAUGAUGGACUAUUCACCAACUGGAGGCUAGGUGUUCACCAAAAAAGAAAACUUUCAAUAUCAAUUUUAAAAGAUGCUUUACGAAAACCAUGAGUUAAGUCAGAUUAGCUAAGGCAGAAAUCUAC